AUGUACCAGCAAGAAGGGGUCCCCCUACGCCACUGCAUGGACCAGCAGUUCGUGGAGCCGCCGCUGCUUGGCCAUCAAGAGCAGUACUACACGUCGCCGAUGGCGACCCCGUCGUUCCAUCCAUCUCGAAGCUCCGAUUUCCCAAGCUUUGGUGGCUCGUCGUCGUUGCCGAACCUGCCGUUCGGAUCGGCGACGGUGAAGAACGAGCUGGGGCAGCCGUCUCCGCCGCCGUCGUCGAACUUUCUCUCCUUCGGCGCUGGCCAGGCUGGCACCCUCAAUUUCUCCGGAGGCGCCUGGCAGCACGACGGCGUGGAAGGGACGAUGCAGCUGCAGGCGCCGGAGAGGCGGAGCAGGGCGCCGGCGAACGCGCAGGAGCACGUCAUCGCCGAGCGCAAGCGGCGGGAGAAGCUGCAGCAGCAGUUCGUGUCCUUGGCCACCAUCGUCCCCGGCCUCAAAAAGACAGACAAGAUCUCUCUGCUGGGGAGCACCAUCGACUACGUGAAGCAGCUGGAGGACAAGGUGAAGGCCCUGGAGGAGCAAGGCUCGCGGAGGUCGUCGGAGUCCACCACCGUCUUCGAGAGCAAGUGCCGCAUAUCCGCCGCCGACAACGACGCAGCAGGACCCAGCGGGUCCGGGGACGCGGCCGAGGACUCGAGCCCGGCCGUCAAGGCCAGCAUCCGGGGGCACACGGCGCUCCUGAAAAUCUGCUGCAAGGAGAGGAGAGGGGUGCUGGUGAUGGUCCUCUCCGAGCUCGAGAACCAGGGCCUCUCCAUCAUAAACACCAACGUCGUCCCGUUCACCGACUCCUGCCUCAACAUCACCAUCACGGCCAAGAUCGAAGAGGGCUUUUCGUCCGCGGCUGAGCUCGUGAGGAACCUGACCGUGGCUCUCAGAAGUUUCAGUUGA
This 906-nucleotide ribosomal RNA is filed under the name Triticum aestivum (bread wheat). Its description in RNAcentral is "partial small subunit ribosomal RNA". The record is from RNAcentral. Lineage: Eukaryota; Viridiplantae; Streptophyta; Magnoliopsida; Poales; Poaceae.